AGCGAACGCUGGCGGCAGGCCUAACACAUGCAAGUCGAACGAACCUUUCGGGGUUAGUGGCGGCCGGGUGAGUAACACGUGGGAACGUGCCUUCAGGUUUGGAAUAACUCAGGGAAACUUGUGCUAACACCGAAUGUGCCCUUCGGGGGAAAGAUUUAUCGCCUUUAGAGCGGCCCGCGUCUGAUUAGCUAGUUGGUUGAGGUAAUGGCUCACCAAGGCGACGAUCAGUAGUUGGUCUGAGAGGAUGAUCAGCCACAUUGGGACUGAGACACGGCCCAAACUCCUACGGGAGGCAGCAGUGGGGAAUCUUGCGCAAUGGGCGAAAGCCUGACGCAGCCAUGCCGCGUGAAUGAUGAAGGUCUUAGGAUUGUAAAAUUCUUUCACCGGGGACGAUAAUGACGGUACCCGGAGAAGAAGCCCCGGCUAACUUCGUG
Molecule: ribosomal RNA, 434 nt
Filed under: uncultured bacterium
Lineage: Bacteria
Description: partial 16S ribosomal RNA
Rfam family: Bacterial small subunit ribosomal RNA
Source: RNAcentral